GGUUUACUAUUUGAUCAUCUGAAACUACGAUUGUGUUGUCAUUUGGUUAUGUCGCCGCCUGUUUCUGUUACAGCUACACAUCUACUUUGUAGUAUCUCUCAGAUGCCAUGGUCUUUGAAUGGUUGGUCUCGGUUAAUACAGUUUCCUACCUGUCCCCAAGAAGCUCAGUUAGGGUAACAAAAUAAAAAAAAAGACGAAAAACAUAUAUUCUACAAAAAAGUUGGAGACAGAACCAAGAAAGAAUAAAUACGUGAGGUGAUCUUACUUGAAGUAAUGGCAGGAUUGAGUAAAGUCUCAUCCUCCCUUUUCAAAUGAACUACAACUCUCCCAACUU
Molecule: long non-coding RNA, 334 nt
Filed under: Brassica rapa (field mustard)
Lineage: Eukaryota; Viridiplantae; Streptophyta; Magnoliopsida; Brassicales; Brassicaceae
Description: long non-coding RNA (BRAP_LNC005828)
Source: RNAcentral